CCAGCAGCCGAUAUAAUACGGGGGGGGCCAAGUUUUAUCGGAUUUACUUGGGUAUAAAGGGUGCGUAGGCGGGAUAAUAAGUCAGGGGUGAAAUCCUGCAGCUCAUCUGUAGAACUGCCAUUGAUACUGUUAUUCUUGAGUGCGAUUGAGGUAGGCGGAAUGUGUAAUGUAGCGGUGAAAUGCUUAGAUAUUACACAGAACACCGAUUGCGUAGGCAGCUUAUUAAGUUGUAACUGACGUUGAGGCACGAAAGCGUGGGGAUCGAACAGGAUUAGAUACCCUGGUAGUCCACGCUGUAAACGAUGAUCACUAGCUGUUGGCGAUACUCCGAUCAGCGGCAAGGCGAAAGCAUUAAGUGAUCCACCUGGGGAGUACGAUCGCAAGAUUGAAACUCAAAGGAAUUGACGGGGGCCCGCACAAGCGGAGGAACAUGUGGUUUAAUUCGAUGAUACGCGAGGAGCCUUACCUGGGCUUAAAUGCAGGACGACGAUACGGGAAACCGAAUCUCCCUUCGGGGCGGACUGCAAGGUGCUGCAUGGUUGUCGUCAGCUCGUGCCGUGAGGUGUCGGGUUAAGUCCCAUAACGAGCGCAACCCCUAUCGUUAGUUGCCAGCGGAUCAUGCCGGGGACUCUAACGAAACUGCCGGUGUAAACCGAGAGGAAGGUGGGGAUGACGUCAAAUCAGCACGGCCCUUAUGUCCAGGGCUACACACGUGUUACAAUGGUCGGUACAGAGGGCAGCUACCUGGUAACAGGAUGCUAAUCUCGAAAGCCGGUCUUAGUUCGGAUCGAAGUCUGCAAUUCGACUUCGUGAAGCUGGAUUCGCUAGUAAUCGCGCAUCAGCCAUGGCGCGGGAAUACUUCCC
This 864-nucleotide ribosomal RNA is filed under the name uncultured bacterium. RNAcentral's name for it is "bacterial SSU rRNA". It matches the Rfam family "Bacterial small subunit ribosomal RNA", at positions 508 to 1374 of the family's 1533-position model. The record is from RNAcentral.